CCUACGGGAGGCAGCAGUGGGGGAUAUUGGACAAUGGGGGGAACCCUGAUCCAGCGACGCCGCGUGAGUGAAGAAGUAUCUCGGUAUGUAAAGCUCUAUUAGCAGGGAAGAAGAAAUGACGGUACCUGAGUAAGAAGCCCUGGCUAACUACGUGCCAGCAGCCGCGGUAAUACGUAGGGGGCAAGCGUUAUCCGGAAUUACUGGGUGUAAAGGGAGCGUAGACGGUGAUGUAAGUCUGGAGUGAAAGGCGGGGGCCCAACCCCCGGACUGAACGGGAAACUAGGUGGCUGGAGUGCAGGAGAGGUAGGCGGAAUUCCUAGUGUAGCGGUGAAAUGCGUAGAUAUUAGGAGGAACACCAGUGGCGAAGGCGGCUCGCUGGACUGUAACUGACGUUGAGGCUCGAAAGCGUGGGGAGCGAACAGGAUUAGAUACCCUAGUAGUC
RNAcentral lists this ribosomal RNA (442 nucleotides) under uncultured bacterium. RNAcentral describes it as "partial 16S ribosomal RNA". It matches the Rfam family "Bacterial small subunit ribosomal RNA", at positions 338 to 795 of the family's 1533-position model. The record is from RNAcentral.